CUGCUAGAAUGUUGCUACUUAGAAAUGGAAAGUUCACAAUUGGAAAGCUGAAAUCAUCUCUUUUUUCGUAAAGUUUUGUUUUCAACCGACCCUCAUUGUCAAUUUCUAGAUGUAAGUCAAGAUAUGAGGCCGACUUAACUGUAUCUGUAGUAUCCUUUAUCUCUAGCUCGAUUGGAUAGAUGCGUUCCACAUAGUCACCACAUUUUG
Molecule: long non-coding RNA, 207 nt
Filed under: Mytilus galloprovincialis (Mediterranean mussel)
Lineage: Eukaryota; Metazoa; Mollusca; Bivalvia; Mytilida; Mytilidae
Source: RNAcentral